Olea europaea var. sylvestris is the source of this 779-nucleotide RNA transcript. It is a transcript of the gene named C2 domain-containing protein At1g53590-like, with no coding region annotated. The record is from RefSeq and is a predicted model, not a curated record. Lineage: Eukaryota; Viridiplantae; Streptophyta; Magnoliopsida; Lamiales; Oleaceae. The transcript is spliced from 4 exons.
UAUGACUUGCAAAUGCUAAUUUGGCAAUCGAAACACCCUUCAAGUAGCAAAACAAUGCACACAAAAACAUUGAAAUUUUUUUCAACAAUGUUGUACAUGUAAUCCCCGUUUGGCCACACUAUUUUGCCCAUUUUUUCAUUUUCAGAAUUGAUUGUCCCUAAGCCUGCAUAUCUUGUGAAGUGUUGAAUAAAUUCCGGAAGAUGGGUAGUAUAUUGGAGGUAACAAUAAUCCAUCAUGUGUGCAUGGUGCUGAUUUUCUUUUGGUUACUUAAUUCUUUCAAGUGUUGCCACCCAGUUGCCUACUUUCUUUCCCUCAUCUAUCUCUAUCUGGUCCAUGAAUUGUAUGAGACGAGAUGGAGAAGGAAACUGCAGUUUGACGAGAUAAGACAAUCCAAUCGAAGAUGGAAGGAUACUGCGGUUCAGCGUUUGUACUUGGGAAGAUCCCUGCCUAUAUUCACUGAAAUGAGGGUGCUUCCAAAAUCCCAUGGUGAUGAUCACUUGGUAUGCUAGGGUCACUGGUAUUGGAAUUGGGAACGAAUUUUCGUACUGCAGAUGAUAUGGGUGCAAUUAUUGCAGUGAAACUGAGGAAAAGAUUGGGAUUAGGAAUGCGAGCAAAGUUGCAUUUGUUAGGCAUGCAUGUUGAAGGAAAUGUAAGUAAAAAGUUAUAUCAUGUAGUAAAUAAUACUUCAGUAAGUGCAUCAAGCUCUACUUAGUAUAUCCGUCCAAUUAUAAAGUCCUUUAAAAUCUUGCUUGUGGAUGAAGACUUAAUUGGCCUAUUAA